CAGUCGCCACGGUAAUACAGAGGGUGCGAGCGUUAAUCGGAUUUACUGGGCGUAAAGCGUGCGUAGGCGGUUAUAUAAGACAGAUGUGAAAUCCCCGGGCUCAACCUGGGAACUGCAUUUGUGACUGUAUAGCUAGAGUACGGCAGAGGGGGAUGGAAUUCCGCGUGUAGCAGUGAAAUGCGUAGAUAUGCGGAGGAACACCGAUGGCGAAGGCAAUCCCCUGGGCCUGUACUGACGCUCAUGCACGAAAGCGUGGGGAGCAAACAGGAUUAGAUACCCGCGUAGUCCCUGUCUCUUAUAA
RNAcentral lists this ribosomal RNA (301 nucleotides) under uncultured bacterium. Its description in RNAcentral is "partial 16S ribosomal RNA". It matches the Rfam family "Bacterial small subunit ribosomal RNA", at positions 509 to 809 of the family's 1533-position model. The record is from RNAcentral.